RNAcentral lists this ribosomal RNA (413 nucleotides) under uncultured Microbacteriaceae bacterium. Its description in RNAcentral is "bacterial SSU rRNA". It matches the Rfam family "Bacterial small subunit ribosomal RNA", at positions 506 to 916 of the family's 1533-position model. Lineage: Bacteria; Bacillati; Actinomycetota; Actinomycetes; Micrococcales; Microbacteriaceae. The record is from RNAcentral.
UGCCAGCCGCCGCGGUAAUACGUAGGGCGCAAGCGUUAUCCGGAAUUAUUGGGCGUAAAGAGCUCGUAGGCGGUUUGUCGCGUCUGCUGUGAAAUCCGGAGGCUCAACCUCCGGCCUGCAGUGGGUACGGGCAGACUAGAGUGCGGUAGGGGAGAUUGGAAUUCCUGGUGUAGCGGUGGAAUGCGCAGAUAUCAGGAGGAACACCGAUGGCGAAGGCAGAUCUCUGGGCCGUAACUGACGCUGAGGAGCGAAAGGGUGGGGAGCAAACAGGCUUAGAUACCCUGGUAGUCCACCCCGUAAACGUUGGGAACUAGUUGUGGGGUCCAUUCCACGGAUUCCGUGACGCAGCUAACGCAUUAAGUUCCCCGCCUGUGGAGUACGGCCGCAAGGCUAAAACUCAAAUAAAUUGACGG